Helianthus annuus (common sunflower) is the source of this 411-nucleotide long non-coding RNA. RefSeq lists it as uncharacterized. The transcript has 3 exons. Lineage: Eukaryota; Viridiplantae; Streptophyta; Magnoliopsida; Asterales; Asteraceae. The record is from RefSeq and is a predicted model, not a curated record.
AAUUGAGAUGUCUGGUCGUACAUGGGACGCAGGGGGGCGACCUGAGCUCCUCACCAAGCCCUAGUUCAUCACAUAUUUCACAAAAUUGAGGGCUCAAAUCAAGCUGAAAUCGAAAAUCGAGCAUAGAUUAUUGAUCCUCAUCACAAGAGGAUUUCAAGUUGGCGCUUAAACAAGCCAGGUGAAGCUUGGAGUGAAAGCGGGUCAAACGAGUCAAGCAUAGAAGAAAAGCGUAGCUCGGAUGCAAGGUGAAUGUCGAGAGUGCACGGAUGAAGAUCAAGCGUCGAGCAAGAACCGAACACGAUUACGAAAUAAGCUUCCGCGCUAUGUAUCGUUAUUAUGUUAAACGACGAACGUACACGUGAUAUGUUGUAUACUUUUAAAUUGUAAAAAGUUUUUAACGAACCCGUAAUU